ACGCGAAAGCCCCGAAAGGGGCAAGUAGAGUGGCAAACGGGUGAGUAACACGUGGGUGACCUGCCUUCGAGCGGGGGAUAACGUCCCGAAAGGGACGCUAAUACCGCAUAACAUCCUGCCUUUGAAGAGGUGGAGAUCAAAGCUGGGGAUCGCAAGACCCGGCACUUGAAGAGGGGCCCGCGUCUGAUUAGCUAGUUGGUGGGGUAAUGGCCUACCAAGGCAACGAUCAGUAUCCGGCCUGAGAGGGCGGACGGACACACUGGGACUGAGACACGGCCCAGACUCCUACGGGAGGCAGCAGUGGGGAAUUGUUCGCAAUGGGCGCAAGCCUGACGACGCAACGCCGCGUGGAGGAUGAAGAUUUUCGGAUCGUAAACUCCUGUCGAAUGGGACGAAUAGGUUGUGGGUUAACAGCCUGCAAUCCUGACGGUACCGUUAAAGGAAACCCCGGCUAACUCCGUGCCAGCAGCCGCGGUAAUACGGGGGGGGUAAGCGUUGUUCGGAAUUACUGGGCGUAAAGGGCUCGUAGGCGGCCAACUAAGUCAUACGUGAAAUCCCUCAGCUUAACUGGGGAACUGCGUGUGAUACUGGAUGGCUUGGAUUUGGGAGAGGGAUGCGGAAUUCCAGGUGUAGCGGUGAAAUGCGUAGAUAUCUGGAGGAACACCGGUGGCGAAGGCGGCAUCCUGGACCAAUAUUGACGCUGAGGAGCGAAAGCCAGGGGAGCAAACGGGAUUAGAUACCCCGGUAGUCCUGGCC
RNAcentral lists this ribosomal RNA (756 nucleotides) under uncultured bacterium. RNAcentral describes it as "bacterial SSU rRNA". It matches the Rfam family "Bacterial small subunit ribosomal RNA", at positions 66 to 801 of the family's 1533-position model. The record is from RNAcentral.